GGAGGGUCUGCCGGAGAUUGGCAGGGAUGUGUCAGCUGACCGGAGUUCGCCACGAAUGGUUCGUAGCGAACCGUUCGCGGCAAGUUCGCGAACGGUUCGCGACAUCACUAGUCCUCAUGCAGAGUGUGACGUUGUCCAUCAUCAUUUAAUAGUCAGAAUCCAGGAAGUGCCUCUCGUGGCUGACUGAUAGCCACUAGAGGCAGUCUUAGACCUACAAAGUAAUUAUUGCAGUUUCUCUAAAACGGCAAUGUUUUACAUUUCAGGACUAAGGAGGACUGGGACAUUGCACCCAGACCACUUCAAUGAGGUGAAGUGGUCUGGAUGACUAUAGUGUCCAUUUAAUGAGCAUAGGACUAGUUGUACUUUUGUUUAAUGCAGCUCUUACCGAACUUACCAUACCACAGUACCACUACUGUACAAAGUCAGUUGAUAUCUGUAUAAAGUGAAAUUACAGUUAUUGUGCCUAUUCGGUAAGUGCCCAACCCUUGCUUUCACAACUAAAAAUACAGUACUUUUAUUGUUAUUGAAUAUACCACCACAGCAGGGUCAUAUCGCUGGCACAGCUAUGAUGGGGCGGGGGGAGGGAAUCACUGGCACAUGUUUUGGUUGUUGGCCCAGACUAAGAUUAAUACCACAGUGCAAGAUAUUAACUUAAGUACAAAGUUGCUUGAGUAAUCCGGCCAAACUCGUCUGUCUAACGAGAAUAGUCCAAUCAAAGCAAUUCCGGGGAAUCUAGAAUGAUAAAAAUAAUCAAGAUGGCGGUUUACAAUGACUGAGAACACUAAAAGAGAUCUAUAUAUAUGGAGAGAGAUAUAAACGUUGUACUGUAGGCAAUUGGAAAUUUUGAAAAAAAAUAGAUGUAAUAAUUUUACAUACCAAAGUGUCACUUAAUUUUAUAUUUUAUUUUUUUAUCACUGCUAUUGUUGGGUUCUAACUGUAUUAUCAAUUAGUUUUGUUCCUGGCCUACUUAUUGAUAACCUCUUUAUUAUAACUGUUCUAGAAUCUUAUAAAAUGUAUCUAGAAUUAGUCCUGUCUAUGACAUAUUUUAUUUGGCAUUUAGAAAGCGCCAACUUGUUCCGCAGUGCUAAUAUUAUAAAAGGGGAAAUUUAACAAUAAACGAGACAAUUAUAAAAUGUUACAGGAACAAUAGAUUGAUUGAGUGACCCAUCAUAAAGUCUAGCAGAUGUGGGGUAUAAAGACACAAAAGGAAAAGGCAUCGAGAGGGAUAUCAACCAAGUGACAAGAUAGGAAACUGGCAGAACUGGAAGGUGAGAGGGGAGUGUGGUCCUUUGAGAGCUAGAGUCAGGUUUGUGAGAUAGAAGUUACUCUGGGAGAGUCUGAUGAGGGUAGGCAGGCUGUUCCAAAGCAAAGGAGUGGCCUACACAAAGUCCUGCAAACCAUAUAAUGUAUCUCCCUGGGAUAAUAUGUAAAUAUCUAUAAAAUGCUGAAAAUUUUAUUAAGCUGAAAGAUAAAAACAAAGACAAAUGAGUUUGAUUGAGAUAUAGAUCUAUCUCAAUCAAUGAUAUAUCAUAGUAUUGUAUAUCUGGUGAGAAGUAUAUGUAUAUAUUUGAGGCUUCUUCUGUUACAGUAUUAUUUAUUCAUAUUACAUAUGCAAUAUGAGCAUGUACAGCAGUAGCUGAAAUAAUCAUGUAAAACAUAUUAAAUAUUAGCACUUUAAAAAUGACAUUGUAUAAAUUCAGAUUGAACAUUCGAGGGUUUCCUACACUAAAGGUUGACUAACAGUUCGUUAGUAUAUAGUUUCACAUACACAAUUGGAAUGGAUUAAAAGAUAAAGCUUUUAAAUAAAUAAAUGGAUUGGAUUUCAGAGCAUUUGGGAGAUUUUAUAAGAGGUUACAUAUUUUUAAUGUGUUUCAUAUUAUAUUAAAAAAAUAGAUUUUGUAAAAAAUGAGAAAUGGUUUGUUUUCCUUGUUCAACUGUCAGCAGAUAAAUAAUGCUGCCACUAAAUGUUGCCAGUCUGACAGUUUUUGGACCUCAAUUUGGGAAAGUUACUGUGUUGAUGCUACGGAUGCUUGCUAAUUCCUGGUCUGUGAGAGGCAUAGAACAAUUGGGAUCUAAUUAAGGCUCAAAAUUCUAAAUUUGCCGCUGGUGAGUGGAAAUUCCGUAUGCCAUGGACCCUCCGUGGUUGCAGUGGCAACUAACUUUUAGGACCUGGACUUGAAAUGUUAAGCCCUGACCUAAACAAUGAUUUCAUGGUAGAAUGCAUGAGAUUAGGUCAUUUCUCACCCUGAAACUAAGAUUUAUGUUGUCUGUACAUUCCCAGCUAUGCUAACUGUAAUCAAUCAGACAGCCUUGCACGAGAAGGAAUUUUUUAACCUUUACAAAGUCUGGGUGAUUUAACAAAUUAUUGUAUCUUUUGUUCCAUAUUGGGAGUAAGUUGGCUAUUUAAGUGACAAAAGUUUGGAUGCAUUAAAUGAUAAAUUAAAACCAUGUACCUGAGUUAAAUCUGUCUCUCAGAGGCUAGGAUUAGGUUCUUACACCAAAAUAAAUGCCUUGAUGGGAAUGCUAACAAUGUAGCCUCAUUUGGCAUGGUAUUCGCUAACUGAUACUUUAUUUCAGCGUCGAAAGAAUAACAUUUUAACGCAUAUUGUGCACUCCAGCACGUUGCCAUAGGUUUACAAAGUACUUUGCAUAAAAUGCAUUUGACUGCUGGCCAUCUUACUCUGUGCUCCCCUUGCUGUCUUCAGCUUUUUGUUAUACAAAUAAAGUACUGUAUAUGUUGGCUAAUACCUUCUUAUAAGUGAGGCUACAUUAUUGGCAAUCAUUUCUUCGGCUAGUGAAAUGGUUGAGCCCAAGUUAUGCUAAGGGCGCGGAUGGAUAACCAUGGUGGUUAUUCCUGUUUUAUUGCUUGGGAGCCAAAUAUCAUGCAUUCCCAUUUGAGAUGUUGUACCAGAUAUUCAUUAUCUUUAAGUUCAAAAAGGUCUGGAAUGAAUUGCAGACCAAUGUGAUUCUAAACGAAGCAUCAAAGAGCUAUUUUUGCUUGGCAUCAACACUUAAGGUGGACCUGGGAUGUGAAACAAGCUACAUACAUAGCUUACGUUGUCCAUUGCUAAUUUUGUAGACUUACAAUUUUAAUCAACUAAAAUCCACUGGAGAUUUAGUAGACUAAAACUAAAACAAUUAAGAUGACUAAAAGUAAAUGUUCCACGAAAAUUAACACUGGCAUGGUCUAUAAACUGUCAGUUACUGGUUAUAGCUGAACACUGAACUACUUUUUAUUUACCGCACCGAUCACUAGUACUUCUUUCGUUAUAUGCUAUACACAAACCGCAGUAAAUGCAACACAGAGAACCUGUCUCCCAGUUAAAUUCAUGAGAGAUAUUUUAGUGAUACGGCUGAAAAUACCUCUGCUUAUUUGAAUAGCCAUCAUUGUGACUAUACUGUAUCCUUGCAGUCCGCUUGCCAUGAUUUUAGUGGAGGAAGUACUGUUUGUUUGUAACAUUAAGUGUGUAUGUGCUCUUUCAGUGGAGCUCGGCGAUAUGGCUGGGAGUAUCCAACUACUUUCUGAUCAAAGCAGAAACAUGCGAAAAGAAAAUGUUAUAGGGUUUGUACAGAGUUCCCCCUGAAUACAGGGGGAGGGCCAGAUUAGCGAAGAAGCUGUGGAUUUGUAGUUAAGAGAUCUGAAAUUCAAGGUAUCCUUCUAUUAAAUUUUUUUUCUAUUUUGUUUGCAUUCUUGUGCAUUAUCUGUUUGAUUUUUUUUUUAAAGUGAGCAGCUGUCUAACACCACAUAUAUCUGUUUAUGUGAAGUAUUAUUUAGGUUAUAAGUCCACGUUUGAAUUGGUGGAAAAGUUGCCCCACAUAUUAUCUGGUGGAUUUCUACAGGCUGAAACUUGGCCCUGACUGAUCGUUAAAUUCUUAAGAAAAUAUAGUGAAUAUUUAAUAUAACAUUUAGCCAAAGAAACGGACACAUGAACAAAUGGAUUUCUCUGCACAUUUUCUUUCUUUUUGUUUGUUUUUAUGCAAUUGUAAAAUAUGGUUUUAUUUUUGUUUUUCAUUGUUAAUGGUUUUGCAUAAUUAAAACUGCCUGAGAAUACAAGGUAAUUGAUUAUUGUAAAAAAAUGCUUGAUUACUGUGGUUUGACGGCCUUGUUAAUAAAACAAAAGAAAUGUUUAAAUACUUUUGCUUGUCCUUUAUAAAUUAUGAAACAUUCAUUUGUCCCUUC
This 4180-nucleotide long non-coding RNA is filed under the name Pelobates cultripes (western spadefoot toad). The record is from RNAcentral. Lineage: Eukaryota; Metazoa; Chordata; Amphibia; Anura; Pelobatidae.